GCUAGCUUGGUGAUGAAACCAUUGACGGAUGUAAACGAGCAUAUGCUCGUAAGCCCGAGAGCGCAUAAAAAUCAUGUGGAUACCCCGUUGCCUUCCUUCUGACCUUUCGU
This 110-nucleotide small nucleolar RNA is filed under the name Laetiporus sulphureus 93-53. Its description in RNAcentral is "Small nucleolar RNA Z13/snr52". It matches the Rfam family "Small nucleolar RNA Z13/snr52". Rfam says of the family: Z13 or snr52 is a member of the C/D class of snoRNA which contain the C (UGAUGA) and D (CUGA) box motifs. Lineage: Eukaryota; Fungi; Basidiomycota; Agaricomycetes; Polyporales; Laetiporaceae. The record is from Rfam by way of RNAcentral.